This 468-nucleotide ribosomal RNA is filed under the name uncultured bacterium. RNAcentral describes it as "partial 16S ribosomal RNA". It matches the Rfam family "Bacterial small subunit ribosomal RNA", at positions 28 to 507 of the family's 1533-position model. The record is from RNAcentral.
GACGAACGCUGGCGGCGUGCUUAACACAUGCAAGUCGAACGGAAAGGCCCUGCUCUUGUGGGGUGCUCGAGUGGCGAACGGGUGAGUAACACGUGAGUAACCUGCCCUUGACUUUGGGAUAACUUCAGGAAACUGGGGCUAAUACCGGAUAGGAGCUCCUGCUGCAUGGUGUGGGUUGGAAAGUUUCGGCGGUUGGGGAUGGACUCGCGGCUUAUCAGCUUGUUGGUGGGGUAGGCGCUUACCAAGGGUUAGACGGGUAGCCGGCCUGAGAGGGUGAACGGGGUCAUGGGGACUGAGAUACGGACCAGAAUCCUACGGGAGGCAGCAGUGGGGAAUAUUGCGCAAUGGGCGGAAGCCUGAUGCAGCAACGCUGCGUGCGGGAUGACGGCCUUCGGGUGGUAAACCGCUGUCGCAUGUGACGAAGCGUGAGUGACGGUAACGGGUAAAGAAGCACCGGCUAACUACGUG